GACGAACGCUGGCGGCGUGCUUAACACAUGCAAGUCGAACGGAAAGGCCCUGCUUUUGUGGGGUGCUCGAGUGGCGAACGGGUGAGUAACACGUGAGUAACCUGCCCUUGACUUUGGGAUAACUUCAGGAAACUGGGGCUAAUACCGGAUAGGAGCUCCUGCUGCAUGGUGGGGGUUGGAAAGUUUCGGCGGUUGGGGAUGGACUCGCGGCUUAUCAGCUUGUUGGUGGGGUAGUGGCUUACCAAGGCUUUGACGGGUAGCCGGCCUGAGAGGGUGACCGGCAACGUGGGGAGUGGGAACCGCCCAAGCUGCCUCGGGGCGGCAGACGUGGGGACUGUGGGCCAAUGGCCGGAGCCCUGUUCAAGCACCGCCUGGGCCGGGAGGAGGGCUUCCGGGUUGUAACCGGCUUCGGCCGGUGCGGAGGCGUGGGUGCCGGAAGUGGGAAAAGAGGCCCCGGCUACCUACUG
Molecule: ribosomal RNA, 467 nt
Filed under: uncultured bacterium
Lineage: Bacteria
Description: partial 16S ribosomal RNA
Rfam family: Bacterial small subunit ribosomal RNA
Source: RNAcentral